AUAUUAGAUUGGUGCAAAAGUAAUUGUGGUUUUUGCCUUCAAAAAUAAUGGCAAAACCACAAUUACUUUCACACCA
This 76-nucleotide microRNA precursor is filed under the name Nomascus leucogenys (northern white-cheeked gibbon). RNAcentral's name for it is "miRNA (ENSNLEG00000035573.1)". The record is from RNAcentral. Lineage: Eukaryota; Metazoa; Chordata; Mammalia; Primates; Hylobatidae.